CAAGCGGUGGAGCAUGUGGUUUAACUCGAUGCAACGCGAAGAACCUUACCUACUCUUGACAUCCAGCGAACUUAGCAGAGAUGCUUUGGUGCCUUCGGGAACGCUGAGACAGGUGCUGCAUGGCUGUCGUCAGCUCGUGUUGUGAAAUGUUGGGUUAAGUCCCGCAACGAGCGCAACCCUUAUCCUUUGUUGCCAGCGAUACGGUCGGGGACUCAAAGGAGACUGCCGGUGAUAAACCGGAGGAAGGUGGGGAUGACGUCAAGUCAUCAUGGCCCUUACGAGUAGGGCUACACACGUGCUACAAUGGCGCAUACAAAGAGAAGCGACCUCGCGAGAGCAAGCGGACCUCAGAAAGUGCGUCGUAGUCCGGAUCGGAGUCUGCAACUCGACUCCGUGAAGUCGGAAUCGCUAGUAAUCGUGGAUCAGAAUGCCACGGUGAAUACGUUCCCGGGCCUUGUACACACC
Molecule: ribosomal RNA, 465 nt
Filed under: uncultured bacterium
Lineage: Bacteria
Description: bacterial SSU rRNA
Rfam family: Bacterial small subunit ribosomal RNA
Source: RNAcentral